RNAcentral lists this ribosomal RNA (327 nucleotides) under uncultured eukaryote. RNAcentral describes it as "partial 18S ribosomal RNA". It matches the Rfam family "Eukaryotic small subunit ribosomal RNA", at positions 1470 to 1796 of the family's 1831-position model. The record is from RNAcentral.
CCCUUAGAUGUUCUGGGCCGCACACGCGCUACACUGAAGGAGGCAGCGUGUACUCCUGGAUCGAAAGAUUUGGGUAACCCGCGAAUCUCCUUCGUGCUAGGGAUUGAGGUUUGCAAUUAUCCUUCAUGAACGAGGAAUUCCCAGUAAGUGCAAGUCAUAAGCUUGCGCUGACUACGUCCCUGCCCUUUGUACACACCGCCCGUCGCUACUACCGAUUGAAUGAUUUAGUGAGGACUUCGGACUGGGACCGAUGCGGCUUUCGGGCUGCGUCGGUAUUCUGGAAAGAUGUCCAAACUGUNUNAUUUAGNGGAGGUAAAANUCGUANCA